RNAcentral lists this ribosomal RNA (212 nucleotides) under Prymnesium parvum. RNAcentral's name for it is "partial Bacterial large subunit ribosomal RNA". It matches the Rfam family "Bacterial large subunit ribosomal RNA", at positions 507 to 724 of the family's 2925-position model. Lineage: Eukaryota; Haptophyta; Prymnesiales; Prymnesiaceae. The record is from RNAcentral.
GGGAAAGGCGAAAAGAACCCCUGUGAGGGGAGUGAAAUAGAACCUGAAACCGUGUACGUACAAGCAGUAGGAGCCCCUCGAGGGUGACUGCGUACCUUUUGUAUAAUGGGUCAGCGACUUAUAUUUUGUAGCGAGGUUAACCGAUUAGGGUAGCCGUAGGGAAACCGAGUCUUAACUGGGCGAAUAGUUGCAAGGUAUAGACCCGAAACCCG